Molecule: transfer RNA, 76 nt
Filed under: Sphaerodactylus townsendi
Lineage: Eukaryota; Metazoa; Chordata; Lepidosauria; Squamata; Sphaerodactylidae
Description: tRNA-Ser
Rfam family: tRNA
About the family: Transfer RNA (tRNA) molecules are approximately 80 nucleotides in length.
Source: RNAcentral
GGAGGGCUGUAGCUCAGUGCGGUUGGGCACUUGCUUGGAAUGCAAAAGGUCCCGGGUUCAAUCCCCAGCCCCUCCA